CUGCGAAUGGCUCAUUAAAUCAGUUAUCGUUUAUUUGAUAGUACCUUACCACUUGGAUAACCGUGGUAAUUCUAGAGCUAAUACAUGCUAAAAACCUCGACUUCGGAAGGGGUGUGUUUAUUAGAUAAAAAACCAAUGCCCUUCGGGGCUCUUUGGUGAUUCAUGAUAACCUAACGGAUCGCAUGGCCUUGCGCUGGCGACGGUUCAUUCAAAUUUCUGCCCUAUCAACUUUCGAUGGUAAGGUAUUGGCUUACCAUGGUUUCAACGGGUAACGGGGAAUUAGGGUUCGAUUCCGGAGAGGGAGCCUGAGAAACGGCUACCACAUCCAAGGAAGGCAGCAGGCGCGCAAAUUACCCAAUCCCGACACGGGGAGGUAGUGACAAUAAAUACUGAUACAGGGCUCUUUUGGGUCUUGUAAUUGGAAUGAGUACAAUUUAAACCCCUUAACGAGGAACAAUUGGAGGGCAAGUCUGGUGCCAGCAGCCGCGGUAAUUCCAGCUCCAAUAGCGUAUAUUAAAGUUGUUGCAGUUAAAAAGCUCGUAGUUGAAACUUGGGUCUGGCUAGCGGGUCCGCCUCACCGCGUGCACUUGUCCGGCUGGACCUUUCCUUCUGGAGAACCUCAUGCCCUUCACUGGGUGUGUUGGGGAACCAGGACUUUUACUUUGAAAAAAUUAGAGUGUUCAAAGCAGGCCUUUGCUCGAAUACGUUAGCAUGGAAUAAUAGAAUAGGACGUGCGGUCCUAUUUUGUUGGUUUCUAGGAUCGCCGUAAUGAUUAAUAGGGAUAGUCGGGGGCAUCAGUAUUCAAUUGUCAGAGGUGAAAUUCUUGGAUUUAUUGAAGACUAACUACUGCGAAAGCAUUUGCCAAGGAUGUUUUCAUUAAUCAGUGAACGAAAGUUGGGGGAUCGAAGACGAUCAGAUACCGUCGUAGUCUCAACCGUAAACUAUGCCGACUAGGGAUCGGGCGAUGUUUCUAUCUUGACUCGCUCGGCACCUUACGAGAAAUCAAAG
RNAcentral lists this ribosomal RNA (1008 nucleotides) under Byssosphaeria schiedermayeriana. RNAcentral describes it as "SSU rRNA". It matches the Rfam family "Eukaryotic small subunit ribosomal RNA", at positions 87 to 1103 of the family's 1831-position model. The record is from RNAcentral. Lineage: Eukaryota; Fungi; Ascomycota; Dothideomycetes; Pleosporales; Melanommataceae.